CGAAGAGCCUCUUUUACCACAGACUGAAUCACGUGACAGACAGUGAUCAGGAGCACAGGUGAGUCUCAAACCAAAAGUGUUUCAGAGACUUCUGGAUUCUGUUCCUGCAGGACAAGACCGUCUGUGCUGCUGAAGUCAUGCUGAGCAUCUGAUGGUCUUCAGCGACACAGAGAUACCAGAGCUGAGCUGUUUUCAGUGUCAGUUUAUCUGCAGUAAUGUCAGAGGAGCGAGGAAAGGACUCUCUCUCUAAGAUGAGUCUCUCAGAGGAACAGAGUGAAAGAUCAGACUCACAUGUGUCCAGCUCUGUGUCUGUGAAGAGUGACCGGUCAAAAGGUGAAGGACCAAACUUCAGUGAGAGAAAACCAUCAACUAACAAAAGG
Long non-coding RNA from Ctenopharyngodon idella (grass carp), 380 nucleotides. RefSeq lists it as uncharacterized. The transcript is spliced from 3 exons. NCBI's taxonomy places the organism in Eukaryota, Metazoa, Chordata, Actinopteri, Cypriniformes, Xenocyprididae. The record is from RefSeq and is a predicted model, not a curated record.